GAGCAGUGUCUGUGCAUGAGGACCAGCUCCAGGCCCCUGCUGGUGAGGGGAGACACCUCCACGUGUGCUUGAAUGCAGGAGAUGUGGGAGGGUGGGCUUCUGGGGCUCCCUUCAUAGCUUUGGUCCUUGGAGGGAGCCACCAGUGUGUGAGGGCUCAAGAAAUCAGGGAGCCAGAAGACCAGGUGCAAGGGUUUGACAACAAGCCCUUCCAACUAGCACUGGCUCCACUUCCCGAAGAGCAGCCUCUGCCAGGGGUGAGGACGCAGGGACGGGGGAUGCUCUGAAGGCAGCAGUGUGUGUGAGUGCAUGCUUAUGUGCACUGGAGGUGGAAGAGAGGGGCAGGGGAUGGACAGACCCCAAGCCUUAGCAACCCACCCCAAGCUUUUCUGUGUCCCUUAGAACGGCCCCUGAGGCUGCAGCGCUCCCCCGUCCUCAAACGCAGGCCAAAACUCGAGGCACCUCCAUCCCCAAGCCUAGGAUCUGGCCUUGGAACCGAGCCUCUGCCCCCACAGCCCACAGAGCCCUCCAGCCCUGAGCGGAGCCCACCCUCCCCAGCCACAGACCAAAGAGGCGGCGGCCCCAAUCCCUGAUCCUCUCCUCUCCUGCCGCAUGAGAUUAUUUUAUUAAAAAACUCAAAG
This 638-nucleotide small RNA is filed under the name Pan troglodytes (chimpanzee). RNAcentral describes it as "retained intron". Lineage: Eukaryota; Metazoa; Chordata; Mammalia; Primates; Hominidae. The record is from RNAcentral.